Molecule: ribosomal RNA, 253 nt
Filed under: uncultured bacterium
Lineage: Bacteria
Description: partial 16S ribosomal RNA
Rfam family: Bacterial small subunit ribosomal RNA
Source: RNAcentral
UACAGAGGUCUCAAGCGUUGUUCGGAUUCAUUGGGCGUAAAGGGUGCGUAGGUGGCGGGGUAAGUCUGGUGUGAAAUCUCGGGGCUCAACCCCGAAACUGCACUGGAUACUGCCUUGCUAGAGUACUGGAGAGGAGAUUGGAAUUUACGGUGUAGCAGUGAAAUGCGUAGAUAUCGUAAGGAAGACCAGUGGCGAAGGCGGCAUCCUGGACCGGUAUUGACGCUGAGGCGCGAAAGCCAGGGGAGCAAACGGG